GCUCGGGAUAGUGGCGGUUUACGCCACCCUGCUGGUGCCGGGGAUGAUCAUGUUCGAAUCCUUCCUGAGCU
RNAcentral lists this transfer RNA (71 nucleotides) under Aeromonas caviae. RNAcentral describes it as "tRNA-Thr(ggt)". Lineage: Bacteria; Pseudomonadati; Pseudomonadota; Gammaproteobacteria; Aeromonadales; Aeromonadaceae. The record is from RNAcentral.